UGGGGAAUUGUUCGCAAUGGGCGCAAGCCUGACGACGCAACGCCGCGUGGAGGAUGAAGGUCUUCGGAUUGUAAACUCCUGUUGACCGGGACGAAUGCGCCUUGACCUAAUACGUCGGGGCAUUGACGGUACCGGUUGAGGAAGCCACGGCUAACUCUGUGCCAGCAGCCGCGGUAAUACAGAGGUGGCAAGCGUUGUUCGGAAUUACUGGGCGUAAAGGGCGCGUAGGCGGCGCGGUAAGUCACUUGUGAAAUCUCUGAGCUUAACUCAGAACGGCCAAGUGAUACUGCAGUGCUAGAGUGUGGAAGGGGCAAUCGGAAUUCUUGGUGUAGCGGUGAAAUGCGUAGAUAUCAAGAGGAACACCUGAGGUGAAGACGGGUUGCUGGGCCAACACUGACGCUGAGGCGCGAAAGCCAGGGGAGCAAAC
RNAcentral lists this ribosomal RNA (427 nucleotides) under uncultured bacterium. RNAcentral's name for it is "bacterial SSU rRNA". It matches the Rfam family "Bacterial small subunit ribosomal RNA", at positions 355 to 773 of the family's 1533-position model. The record is from RNAcentral.